Molecule: non-coding RNA, 1720 nt
Organism: Tetranychus urticae (two-spotted spider mite)
Lineage: Eukaryota; Metazoa; Arthropoda; Arachnida; Trombidiformes; Tetranychidae
Source: RefSeq, a predicted model, not a curated record
AUAUUGUUAGUAAAUUAUUACGUUAAUCACUUUAUGUUUACAGAUGAAGAUUAUUUUCUUUAUUUUCCCAUCCUUCUUAUUUAAUUGAAGAAGUUGAAGUUAUUGUUUUAACUGAAUCUUUACCUUUUCUUCAGAAAUCAUUUCAGCAACCAUUUGAGGCGGAACUGUCAACUCUUUCAUUCCCUCUUUAUUUGUUAUCUUAUUCAGUUAGAUAUUUAAUUUUUAGAUAUUUUUCUCCAUGUAAAAUGUGAAUUAUCGUUUCCCUUUGGUAGGUGUGCUUAAUAAACUUAAUCAUCCCAAGGCAAUAAUAAAAUGUAUCAAUUUUAUAAUCCAACUAGCAGAAAAAAAGCCAAAAAAGGCACAACAGGUGCAUCUCUAAAAGCCGGAAGUUGAAUUCAAAGAUAAAUCUCUAAAAUCAUGAACUCAGAAUUAGUUUUGCUGUUUGCUUCUGUUGUUCUCACUGUUGGUAGUUGUACUGAUAUUUCAUUGGACCAUUAAGUUAACGUCAAGAUGAGCCAGGAGGGAUAACAACUGAACAAGAAGGAGAAAAAUGAUGAUAAAGAUGGAGGAGCAGGUUGUAGGUGUGCGUUGGAGGUUAGGCCAGGAUGGUGGAGGUACUUUUGCAGAUGAACAAGUGAAAUGAGCUGGGGAAAGCUGGAAAGGUUGGCAGCAAGGAAUACAAUUUAUCCAUUUUUAUAUUGCGAAUGUUUAUCUCGCAUCAUUUGUUCUGACCUGGUUACAUUUAUGGUGAAACUCGACUUGAUUAUUUCAGUUUCGUAUUUACUGAUAACCUGUAAUCAUUUUUUACUUUUCCUUAUAAUAGCUUCAACACCAAUCUGAAGACACUUAAUGCGGUCACAAGACAGUUUGACCAUCUUGUCAAGCAAUAUUAUCACCAAUAACAUUGGCCUCGUAAUUUUUAAUUUCAACAACGAUGGACAAGUCUGACCAACUUACCUAUUUAACUUGAAUGGAAUACAAAAUUUAUUCAUUUGCUAAGGUCAACCAUUAUCAUGGCCAUUCAGUGUAGCCAAUAACUAUUACAAAUCUACCAUUAACUUUGAUUACAGGAAAUAUUCAUUGUUUUACUCUGGAAUUCAAUUUGAAUUGUUUCCAUCUUCUUAGCUGGUUAAAUUUUAAGAGACCUUGAAUUGACAACAGAUGAUAAUCAAUGAAAUUUUCAUUGUGGUUACAGUUAUUUUGUUUAACAAAAGAAUCGCUGAUUGGUUAUCAAAAGGUUUCAAGCAAUAGAGCUGAAUAAGUCAGAAUUGGUACAUAAUACAUAAAUUGAUUGAAAAAAUAGGUGAAAAGUAUUUUAAAUUUAAUCUAAAUGGUUACCAACAACCAGCAGUAACAAUGGUAUCAGCAGUGUAUUAGUAGCUAUUGUCGAGUGCAUAGGAAAGGCAAAAAACCAAUUGAAUUAUAUCGACAGUUUCACUGAAAAUCAUAUGAGACUGAAAACGUUAUCAGUUUAAUAGAGAGAGGAAGAAAAGGCGUAGAAAUGAGAUUUGAACAAUUAGAUGAUUGUAUUUGAAAUAAAGAGUAAGAUGAAACAUGCAUUAACACUCAUCAAUAAUGAUGUAAAUAAACAAUCAUCAAUGUAAUUCAAGUUGAAUGCUUCAAGCGACCAUGAACUUAUAAAUUGUUAUUUUGCCAUCCAUAAUCAGCCAAAUUAAUGAGAAGAAAUGAACGAUUAAAAUAACUUUUCUUUAUCACUCAA